UCCUGCAUAGGUGGAAGCUCGGUGGUACGGUCGCACCCACGACGAGGUUGGGUGUCACAGCCGCGUCGCCGGUGAUCCGAUUGGCAGUAGCAGGCGGUGUGGCUCAGUGGCACCCGCGACGUCAGUGCUACAAUCGGUGGAAGCACCCGCUCCCUGUGAGCCACGACGAGGUUGGGCAUAGCACACGCGGCGCCGAUGCUCCAAUCGGCAGCAACAGGAGGUCUGGUUACGUGGUGACUGGUGAGCCGUGCCUCCGGCUGAAGACCAGACAUGUGGUCCUCCAUCGCAUGCAAGGGGUGACGCUGCCGCGCUCGGACGAUGAUGAAGAAGUGGAUGUUGUGCUGUUAGCUAUGCUAGUGGCAAUUGUGUGUACAUUUGCCAUACUAGGAUGUAUGUUUUUGCUGUGAUGUUAUCUGAAUAAGUAGGGACAAAUGCAUUUUCAUUUGCCAAACCAGGAUGUAUGCUUGUGCUGUGUUGUAACGAUAACUGUAACUGGGAUUUUAUCUAUGCUUUAGCUGGGAAGUUGUAUGCACUGCUACUAU
RNAcentral lists this ribosomal RNA (542 nucleotides) under Triticum aestivum (bread wheat). Its description in RNAcentral is "partial small subunit ribosomal RNA". Lineage: Eukaryota; Viridiplantae; Streptophyta; Magnoliopsida; Poales; Poaceae. The record is from RNAcentral.